GACGAACGCUGGCGGCGUGCUUAACACAUGCAAGUCGAACGGAAAGGCCCUGCUUUUGUGGGGUGCUCGAGUGGCGAACGGGUGAGUAACACGUGAGUAACCUGCGCUUGACUUUGGGAUAACUUCAGGAAACUGGGGCUACUACCGGAUAGGAGCUCCUGCUGCAUGGUGGGGGUUGGAAAGUUUCGUCGGAUGGGGAUGGACUCGCGGCUUAGCAGCUUGUUGGUGGGGUAGUGGCUUAGCAAUGCUUUGACGGGUAGCCGGCCUGGGAGGGUGACCGGCCACAGUGGGACUGAGAUACGGCCCGGACUCCUACGGGGGGCAGGAGUGGGGAAUAUUGCCUAACGGGCGGAGGCCUGAUGCAGCAACGCCGCGUGCGGGAGGACGGCCUUCGGGUUGUAAACCGCUUUCGCUUGUGACGAAGCGUGAGUGACGGUAAUGGGUAAAGAAGCACCGGCUAACUACGU
This 467-nucleotide ribosomal RNA is filed under the name uncultured bacterium. Its description in RNAcentral is "partial 16S ribosomal RNA". It matches the Rfam family "Bacterial small subunit ribosomal RNA", at positions 28 to 506 of the family's 1533-position model. The record is from RNAcentral.